GGGUGAGGGUGAGUAAUUACCAGGAGCAUACAUGCUGCCCCAGAGGCUGGCAGCCUGUGUUACGGUCAAUUAGCUACCAGACACAAUCAUCUAGGUUGUUAAUUAUUACUGGGGUGUUGAAGCCAUGAAACCCAGAGGCAGAGAACAAGUGAGGGUAUCUGUCACUGGGUCUCAGGCAGAAAACCCAGAGAAUUGGGUUCCCCAGGGGCCACUGUCCCAUGUCAGGCAGCUGGAGAGGUUCCAGGUCCUCUCUUCACAGGUCUCAGUCCCAAGAUGAGGAUGAACUAAACCAAUUCAGUUUAUCCAUGAUGUACAAGCAGCAGGCGGGCUCCGGCGCUAGAAAACACAGGCAGAAAUCUCCAUGCUCUUCAAGAAAGCAGCAUGCAUGAAGAGGAAAGAGCGGGCACGGGAAAAGCUGUAAGAUGGGCCUGGCCACGGGACAGGAAAUCCGGUCCUGACUGGUGCUAUACCGUGUGACCACAUGGGGCAUGGGGAAGGAGACAGCAUUACAGGCGCACCUUAAGGACAAAGGCAAGGACAUUCCGGGAAAGAGGGAGAGAAACAGCACAAUGCGUGUCCUUCCGACAUCGCAGUGGACCGUGUAAAGGGCAGAGCUGUGGAAGGCAAACCGCACUGAAGCCACCUGGCUCCAUGGACUCCACCUGGCUGUGAAAGCCAAGGCUCCGCCACUCACCCUGGGGUGAGUUCUUGGUCUGCCUUGGACAGUCUCCUGGUCUAUAAGGAGGCAGAAGUCCUUAUCCCCUGUUUGCUUCUGAAGAUGGACUGGGAUUGUGCAGAUGCCCAGCGGGGGCAGCUCAAGCCCAGACUGGACUCUGCCCUACGGAUGAGAAAUGACACCUAAACAUAAUGGAAUUUAUCCAGGGUCAGGAGCUGCCGAGUGGCAGAGUGAGAAUUGGAGCGGAUGCCCGUCUGACUCCAAAGUUCACCCUGAGGAGAGUGGGCAGCACAGGACCUCUUUGAGGAGAAAUGAGUGCAAUGCUUUUGGAGGAAAUGCGGUCCAGGGGCGGGUGGGCUUCCUCUCACUAACGAGUUUGUCCAGGAUGAUGCUCGGCAUAGGCUUCAAGCUUUCCGCCCUCCGUUUCCUGCCUCUGUGCCGUCGCCUGGCUCCUGCAUCUCUGCCUCAUCGCUCUGAUAUCCGCCGCUCAGGUUCUUGCCAGCACUGGGGCCACCUUGUCACUGCGCCUGAAGCCAAGCUCUGCUGUCUGGUGUGUUCAGAUGCAGCUGAGGUACAGCAGGGACCUGGCCUGAGCUCACCUCUCACAGCGGCCCAGCACAGGGGAACAGGACAGGAUCCAGACCCCCACCUGCUCCGUCUUCCCUGGUCCUCCAGCCCCGCCUGCCUCAGGGGGCGGAAGUGUAGCUGCGGAGUUUCCUCAGUCUGACUUAUAGCUAUGGAUGGUUCUCCUUCCUUCCUUUCCGCUCCUCACGUCCUGGCUCAUCAGGAGAUAAUGUGGUCACUGAGUGCUGACCACCAGGCCAUGUGACCUGGGAGGAGUGUUUCAAGCCUGGCCUCAACUUUCUCCGAUGCUUACCAGUCACAUCACCUAGGCGCAGUGUCACUCAAUCUCUUAGACCCGCUUCUUCCUCUAUUAAGCGGUGCUAUGGUGGGACUUUAGAAAAUAUGAUAUCUUUGCAACUCUAAUCCAACAUCAACCAUUUCUCAUGAUGCAAUCUAGUCCUAUCUGCCCAACCGACCUCACAUGGAAUUGUGAGGAGUACAGCAAACAGGAGGCAUGAGAGAUUGCUCCGAGAGCUUCCUGUAUCCCACACAGAUAGGGCUGACUUCACCCCUUCUCAGAGUUCUUAGAAUUUAAAGUAGGCUCGUGAUACCUCCGAGAAGACAAUCCUUGCUGGUAGCACUUCAAAUAGAUGGAAACACCCAUAUUCCUCGUGCAGUAGGCUGGAUAGUAACCGCCCAAAUAUGUUGGUUUCCCAAUCCACAGUGUAUGAGAGCUACCUUUUAUGGCGGGGGGCCUGUCCCUUGUGGGGUUGUGCUGGAUCAUCUGGGUGCAGCACUAAGAUUGGGAGCCCUUGGGAGAGGAGCACGCAGGAGUCAGAGACAGGGAGAUGGGAGCCGGGGCUGGCGGGUUGGGAGGGACGCACUUCAGAGAUCAAGGAAGGAUCCACGCACCAAAGAGUACACAGAGCCGUGCGAUGUAGAGAAGGGAAGAGAAAUCGGUACUCCAGAACCUCAGGAUCAGGAGGGAAGCAACCACACAGCACAGGGACGCUGGCGCUGGCCUCUAGAAUCGUGAGAGAAAGGACAUGCAGCGUGUGAAGGCGUCGCAUUUACAGUGCCCGCCCUGGUGAUCACACUCUAGGGCAGUAGCCAUGAUAAACGCCUCAGAAGUGUGCAAGGAGGUACCCAGCUUGGUGCGCACAGCAGCCCCGGGCACAGCAGCAGGAAGGGAAGAGCUCAGAAGUCCACCGAGGAGAGAGUGACUAUGUGAACGCUGCUGAGCACGGUCAGAGGGUGGGAACGACAACGUUAUGUGGGACUCUGGCGAAUCUCGGCAGCGUACUUUUGUGUUUGCCGACUUUAAUCUCAUUUAUAUGGAAACCGUCUCAAAUUUACAGAAAAGCUGUGAGUAUCGUCCAAAUACCUUUAUUUUCCACCUGAUUCAAGUUGGCAAUCUGCUCUCUUAUCACCCACGGAUACUUCAGGGCCCAAUUUCCACAUACAAGAGCAUUUUCUUACAUGAUUCUAAUGCAACCAUCAAUGUCAGAAAAUUACAUUAACAUUUAACUACUUUGCACCCCCAAACCUCAUGUAAGGUUUGUUUUUGUUUUGUUUUUUGGUACUGGGGAUACAAUCGGGUCCUUGCUCUUGCAAAGCUAAAUCCCCAGCCCUCUCAUGUAAGUUUCAUCAGUUGUGUCAAAAUACCUUUCGGGGCAGAAAGGUCUACUCGAGAAUCAGACUCGGUGUUUGCUUGGCAUAUCUUUUUAGUCUUCCUCGUUGGCAACCAUUCUUUGCCUUUCCUUUGACUUUGUGUGCCUUCUGCAUAGCUGGAGAAGACUGCUGGAGAUUCAUCGGGCGUCCCUCGGUAACAACGUGUCUGAUGGUUGUUUCUCUGUGUCAAGCACAGCCCAGAAGCCAUGCUCUGUUCUUCCCUCUGCAUCCUAUUGAGCACCUGAUUGUGUUUGUCCCAGAGCUGAUGAGAUCCACUUUGAUCACUGAUUAAAAUGGUGGCAGCCUGUCUCCUGCACUGACAAGUUACCCUUUCUCCCCUUAGCAACAUCAUCUAAGUAAAAAUAGCACAUCCAGAGACUAGAAACAGUAUGUCAUCCUUUCCCAAAGUUAAACCUCACUAAAGUGUUUAAAUGUUUAUGAGAAAGGCACACAGAUGAGCCAGAACCUGCAAUGGGAAGGAAAGGCGAGGUGAAUACAGACUUGGCGCUGGGUGGUGGGAAGGGCGCCUGGGACCCUGGUGUUUGUGUGGGUAAUGAGCUCGGGGACGUUCGUGCUGUGCUGCUAAAAACAGUGAAAAAAGGGCAAGACGGCCAGGCUUAGACCAGGGAUGAGAUUGGGUCAAGAACUGUGGAUGGUGCCAAAUCAGAUCUAGGGACUACAGGGCCACUUUUAAAACAGUACUAGGCAGGUGGUGGAAGGUACAAGGCUGAAGAACAGAGGGGAGGAAUCCCAAGGCUUCUCUUGUCAUCAAAGCCCCAGUCCUGCCCCAGCCACACGACAUGUGCUGAGGCGAAGGGAGCCGUACUCCACUACCUUCCACUCCCUCGGGCCUGACUGACGGACUGGAACCAGGAGCAGAAGACUGUUCUGAUCCAGGAGAGCUCUUAGAGCCUACAACAUUUGGAUAGUAAAAUAUAGGGACACUCAUCUCCUUCCUGGAGCAAUUUUGCAUCCCCACAACAUUUGUAUUUUUUCCAACCUCAUUUCCCUUCUACAGCAGUAUGGGAGAGCUGAGGAGGCAGCUAGGUGACGCAGCGCUUGCCAGUCACUUGCUCAGUCCCCAGCACUGCAAAACAAAACAAAGCAAAACCCACACCAGAAUGGCCAGGCACCCUGGCACAUACCUAUAAUCCCCGUUCUCCAGGAGGCUGAGGCAGGAGGAUUGCAACUUUGAACCCAGCAUGGUCAAUUAAGUGACUUGGUGAGACCCUAUCUCAAUAAAUAAGUAAAUAAAUAAAUAGGAGGGCUACAGAUGCAAAUCAGUGCAAAGGCUCUGGAUGGAAGCCAACAUCCACAACAAAGCUCAGGCGUAGGUAUCUCCGUGCUUCUUCCCCUUCCAGUCCCGGUCCUCACACUUGUGGGUUUGGCACUGCCCACAUGGGCCUGUCUGGGAAAGGUCGAACUUCAUCCCAGAGGCAUUUAGCAAAUGGAGAGACAUGAGGCUAAGUGUUUCCUUCCGUGGGAUUUUUCAGCCUCUUCUCUGCCCCAGAGAUUAUGAUUUAGGUCCGGGUAGAGCCUAGCUAGGCAAGCAUAUUUUGAAAACUCCAUGCAGGUAAGAAUCACGGCACUGUUGACCCUCAUCUCAUUUCCAUACCACAUACUUACUUUUUGUUGCAUUUUUUUCAGCACUAGGGAUUGAACACAGGGCCUUCACAUGGAGCUACAUCCUCAAGGCAGUUUUCAAUUUUCAUUUUGAGACAAUGUCUUGCUAAGUCAAUAAGUUGCCUGGACUGGGUUCAAACUUGGGAUCCUCCUGCCUCUGCCUCCAAGAGUGCUGGUAUCAUGGGCAUGGGCCACACACUGGCUUCUUGUGUCUUCAUGCAUUUGUUUUCCACUCUGAGGCAGAUGUGUCUUUUACUGAGGGUUUCCCCUGGGAAGUUAUCUCUCUCUUACACACACACACACACCACAUGCACGCACCACACAGACAUCGCUUGGGUCCAACGUAGUUUGACUAUAGUCUCUGUCCUGGGAAUCUGGAAGCAGAGCAAAGGGUUCCCAUUCACUCUGGCUACUGCAUGAUCUCACCAAACAUUUCUGCCUUCCAAGAUGAAGUGACUGGGACGAGCUUCAGAAGGGCACUGAGGUUCUUACAGCAGAAGUGAGAAGCAGGUGCUGAGUGCCCAGCUGUUUCCUGCAUUCCAUUUCCUAGGGAUGCCAGGGGUCUUUUCUGUGGGGAGAUGAGAUGAGGAGACAAUAAAGUCUUCUUAAUUUUGUUUGGUUGACUCCUUUCCUGUCCACUCCAUAGUUAGCUUCAUCUGGCCUAGGAGGAUUUCAUUUGGGCUUGUGGGUCUAUGGGCUUAGUAGCUACAAGUUGGAAAUAAUCAGCUGAACUCAGGAUGGGGAUGGCGCAAUCAGAGGGAUGUAGAAGUAGGAUAAAGUUUCUAGCUUGUGAGAGGGAUAUAGAUACUUAUUAAUCUCACACAUUAGAAAAAUAUAUUUGAAUUUCCAUGGGAACACUGGCACGAUGGGUUAAGCUGCAUAUCUUACCAUAAGUAGAGCAAAAUAAAGCAGACAGAAGGACCUUUACACUUUUUGAUACUAUGUGCAUGAAUUAG
Long non-coding RNA from Fukomys damarensis (Damara mole-rat), 5490 nucleotides. Lineage: Eukaryota; Metazoa; Chordata; Mammalia; Rodentia; Bathyergidae. The record is from Ensembl.